Molecule: ribosomal RNA, 379 nt
Filed under: uncultured bacterium
Lineage: Bacteria
Description: bacterial SSU rRNA
Rfam family: Bacterial small subunit ribosomal RNA
Source: RNAcentral
GACGAACGCUGGCGGCGUGCUUAACACAUGCAAGUCGGGCGGUAAGGCCCUUUCGGGGGUACACGAGCGGCGAACGGGUGAGUAACACGUGGGUGACCUGCCCUCAGCUCUGGGAUAAGCCUGGGAAACCGGGUCUAAUACUGGAUAUGACUCCAUGACGCAUGUUGUGGGGUGGAAAGCCUUGUGCGGCUGAGGAUGGGCCCGCGGCCUAUCAGCUUGUUGGUGGGGUGANGGCCUACCAAGGCGACGACGGUAGCCGGCCUGAGAGGGCGACCGGCCACACUGGGACUGAGACACGGCCCAGACUCCUACGGGAGGCAGCAGUGGGGAAUCUUGCGCAAUGGGCGAAAGCCUGACGCAGCGACGCCGCGUGAGGGAU